UAAACGGUCCUUUUCAGGACCACCGAAAA
This is a non-coding RNA of Aedes albopictus (Asian tiger mosquito), 29 nucleotides long. The record is from Rfam. NCBI's taxonomy places the organism in Eukaryota, Metazoa, Arthropoda, Insecta, Diptera, Culicidae.